GCCUUCGUAGUGUAGUGGUCAACAUGCUCGGUGCGUAUUCGAGAGGUCCGUGGUUCGAGUCUCGGUGAGAGCA
Molecule: non-coding RNA, 73 nt
Organism: Stegodyphus mimosarum
Lineage: Eukaryota; Metazoa; Arthropoda; Arachnida; Araneae; Eresidae
Source: Rfam